GCCAGAGUGGCGGAAUUGGCAGACGCGCUGGACUCAAAAUCCAGUGUCCGUUGAGGACGUGAGGGUUCGAGUCCCUCCUCUGGUA
RNAcentral lists this transfer RNA (85 nucleotides) under Rhodopirellula sp. Its description in RNAcentral is "tRNA-Leu". It matches the Rfam family "tRNA". Rfam says of the family: Transfer RNA (tRNA) molecules are approximately 80 nucleotides in length. Their secondary structure includes four short double-helical elements and three loops (D, anti-codon, and T loops). Further hydrogen bonds mediate the characteristic L-shaped molecular structure. tRNAs have two regions of fundamental functional importance: the anti-codon, which is responsible for specific mRNA codon recognition, and the 3' end, to which the tRNAs corresponding amino acid is attached (by aminoacyl-tRNA synthetases). tRNAs cope with the degeneracy of the genetic code in two manners: having more than one tRNA (with a specific anti-codon) for a particular amino acid; and 'wobble' base-pairing, i.e. permitting non-standard base-pairing at the 3rd anti-codon position. The record is from RNAcentral. Lineage: Bacteria; Pseudomonadati; Planctomycetota; Planctomycetia; Pirellulales; Pirellulaceae.